RNAcentral lists this ribosomal RNA (23 nucleotides) under Cactodera weissi. RNAcentral's name for it is "partial 28S ribosomal RNA". RNAcentral also lists the same sequence under 1 other name. Lineage: Eukaryota; Metazoa; Nematoda; Chromadorea; Rhabditida; Heteroderidae. The record is from RNAcentral.
UCGACCUGAACUCAGACGUGAGU